RNAcentral lists this long non-coding RNA (356 nucleotides) under Trifolium pratense (red clover). RNAcentral's name for it is "long non-coding RNA (TPRA_LNC011488)". Lineage: Eukaryota; Viridiplantae; Streptophyta; Magnoliopsida; Fabales; Fabaceae. The record is from RNAcentral.
AAUGGUUGAGGGAUUUUAUGGGGUUCAAUACGUGGUUGCGGGAGUGGACCACGAGGUGUGGUUGUGUGAGUGGAGUACUUAAUCCUACGGGAUUCUUGGUGAGCGGGGCUUGGUAUUUGUCUGAGUGACUAUACCGGUAAGUCGGUAUUCGAUCUGUAGUGAUUGUACCGCAGUUGUUCUAGUCGGUAUUCGAUCUGUAGUGAUUGUACCGCAGUUGUUCUAGUCGGUAUUCGAUCUGUAGUGAUUGUACCGUAGUUGUUAAAGUCGGUAUUCGAUCUGUAGUGAUUGUACCUCAGUUGAUAGUGUCGGUGAUUUGUCUGAGUGACUUCACCCGGUGUUUGGUACUUUGUCUGAGU